Phalaenopsis equestris is the source of this 811-nucleotide long non-coding RNA. RefSeq lists it as uncharacterized. The record is from RefSeq and is a predicted model, not a curated record. Lineage: Eukaryota; Viridiplantae; Streptophyta; Magnoliopsida; Asparagales; Orchidaceae. The transcript is spliced from 4 exons.
GUAAGUUUCGUGAGCGAGAGAGGUAGAGGCGCAAAAGAAGUGAAAUAAGCUCCAGACGAACGCGAAUCACGGGUAUAAUCACGGGCAAUACAAAAUACUACAUUUUGAUAUAAUCUAUGAAGUCCGAAAAAGAACGGGUAGGCCGCGGAACACACUUAUAAUCUGCCCUGAACGCCUCCCGCGAUCCGUUCGGUGCUGUAGCCUUUCCUCCGCCGACGGAAGCCGCUCCUCCUCCGCACUCCCCAUUCGGCCGAGAGCUUGCUCAACCUUGGUCUGCCCUAGCUCGCGACUCCGUAGCCGCUCCCUGCUUCCGUUCGGCAUCCCGCUCUUCUUCGGCAUUCUCGGCAGUUCAUUCGAAGCUGAAGAAUAAUGAGCUCUAUUAUCGCAAUCGUUUACUGUCCUAUCAAAACUGCUCCUUGAGGAAUUCCCAAACUGAUCCGAUGAGAAAGGAUUCCAGAAAUAAUCCCACAUAGAAGUUUGAGGCGAUGAGAAUUGAUAGCUUGAUCUAUUGUAAGGAGAAGAGAAGAAUGAUGCUCUAUUAACUGAUGAAGAUUGUGACACAAAGAAACCAUUCAUACCAAGACUUUCCCCGGGAUAGUAGGAUUAGAGAUGCACAGCUUCAUGUGGCUCUAGCCAUUCUUCAACAGCAAGAACAAUGAGCUCCAGGUAUUCAGGGAAGUCCGGGCGAGUGCUAUGUUGGUGCGGAUUGUCGUCCUUAUUACUCAUGUCACACCAACAACAUAGCUAUGGGCGAUAGUUCUACAGGUGCCCGCGGUGGGCAGACGACAGGACGACUAUAGGUUUUUUAGCU